Molecule: ribosomal RNA, 253 nt
Filed under: uncultured bacterium
Lineage: Bacteria
Description: partial 16S ribosomal RNA
Rfam family: Bacterial small subunit ribosomal RNA
Source: RNAcentral
UACAGAGGUCCCAAGCGUUGUUCGGAUUCACUGGGCGUAAAGGGUGCGUAGGCGGUCGGGUAAGUCUGAUGUGAAAUCUCACAGCUUAACUGUGAAACUGCAUUGGAUACUAUUCGGCUUGAGAGUUGGAGGGGGGACUGGAAUUCUUGGUGUAGCAGUGAAAUGCGUAGAUAUGUGGAGGAACACCUGUGGCGAAGGCGCCUUGCUGGCCAAUUUCUGACGCUGAGGCGCGAAAGCGUGGGGAGCAAACAGG